GACAGAGGGUAGCGGUAGUCCAUGGUGAACAUGUCCCUCGCAACCUUCCCAAACUGCAGGAUCACCUUGUCGGGGUCGACGGGGCCGGGCUGCGAGGGGGUCGGGGCGCCUGCCGGCGGCGGGUUCGACGCGGCGGUCAGCUGGAAGUUCUUCACCGAGGCGAUGGUCACGCGGCCGCGGAAGUUGAGGCACCAGCACUGCAGCUGCUCAUGCCACCUCGGG
RNAcentral lists this long non-coding RNA (222 nucleotides) under Hordeum vulgare. RNAcentral describes it as "long non-coding RNA (HVUL_LNC007820)". The record is from RNAcentral. Lineage: Eukaryota; Viridiplantae; Streptophyta; Magnoliopsida; Poales; Poaceae.